Long non-coding RNA from Thalassophryne amazonica, 331 nucleotides. RefSeq lists it as uncharacterized. The record is from RefSeq and is a predicted model, not a curated record. Lineage: Eukaryota; Metazoa; Chordata; Actinopteri; Batrachoidiformes; Batrachoididae. The transcript is spliced from 2 exons.
AACAGUGUUUAAAUGAAUCAAAGAAACUAAUCUGAAAAAAAAAAAAUCAAAAAUCAAAACCAAAGAGAAGAAACAUUUUGCUUUAAUUUCACCCCAAAGAAGUCCAUAUUUUCCCUAAACUUCAUAAUUUCAUAUUUUCACAAGGAAGAACUGUGAACAGUUGUUUAAAUGAAUCAAAGAAACUAAUCUGAAUAAAAAAAUCAAAAAUCAAAACCAAAGAGAAGAAACAUUUUGCUUUAAUUUCACCCCAAAGAAGUCCAUAUUUUCCCUAAACUUCAUAAUUUCAUAUUUUCACAAGGAAGAACUGUGAACAGUGUUUAGAUGAAUCAAA